Molecule: ribosomal RNA, 497 nt
Filed under: uncultured bacterium
Lineage: Bacteria
Description: partial 16S ribosomal RNA
Rfam family: Bacterial small subunit ribosomal RNA
Source: RNAcentral
GAUGAACGCUGGCGGCGUGCCUAAUACAUGCAAGUCGAGCGAACAGACGAGGAGCUUGCUCCUCUGACGUUAGCGGCGGACGGGUGAGUAACACGUGGAUAACCUACCUAUAAGACUGGGAUAACUUCGGGAAACCGGAGCUAAUACCGGAUAAUAUAUUGAACCGCAUGGUUCAAUAGUGAAAGACGGUUUUGCUGUCACUUAUAGAUGGAUCCGCGCCGCAUUAGCUAGUUGGUAAGGUAACGGCUUACCAAGGCAACGAUGCGUAGCCGACCUGAGAGGGUGUUGGGCUGCACUGGAAUUGGGACGCGGUCCAGACUCCUGCGGGAAGCAGCAUAGGGUAAUCUUCACGAAUGGGCGAGAGCAUGACAGAGCAACGCCGCUUGAGUGAUGAAGGUAUUCGGAUCGUAAAACUCUGUUAUUGGGGAAGAACAAAUGUGUAAGUAACUAUGCUCGUCUUGACGGUACCUAAGCAGAAAGCUACGGCUUACUACGUG